UACGUAGGUCGCAAGCGUUGUCCGGAUUUACUGGGCGUAAAGAGCGCGCAGGCGGCUGGUCAAGUCCGAUGUGAAAUCUACCGGCUCAACUGGGAAACUGCAUCGGAAACUGAUCGGCUUGAAGAUGGGAGAGGGUAGUGGAAUUCCCGGUGUAGUGGUGAAAUGCUUAGAUAUCGUCAAGAACACCUAUAGCGAAGGCAGCUUACUAGGCUGUAACUGACGCUGAGGCACGAAAGUGUGGGGAUCAAACAGG
RNAcentral lists this ribosomal RNA (253 nucleotides) under uncultured bacterium. RNAcentral describes it as "partial 16S ribosomal RNA". It matches the Rfam family "Bacterial small subunit ribosomal RNA", at positions 524 to 776 of the family's 1533-position model. The record is from RNAcentral.